RNAcentral lists this ribosomal RNA (253 nucleotides) under uncultured bacterium. Its description in RNAcentral is "partial 16S ribosomal RNA". It matches the Rfam family "Bacterial small subunit ribosomal RNA", at positions 524 to 776 of the family's 1533-position model. The record is from RNAcentral.
UACGGGGGGGGCAAGCGUUGUUCGGAAUUACUGGGCGUAAAGGGCGUGCAGGCGGUCUGUUAAGUGCAGGGUGAAAGCUCCCGGCUCAACUGGGAGAGGUCCUUGCAUACUGGCGGACUUGAGGGGGGUAGAGGAAAGUGGAAUUCCCGGUGUAGUGGUGAUAUGCGUAGAUAUCGGGAGGAACACCUGUGGCGAAGGCGGCUUUCUGGGCCCUACCUGACGCUGAGACGCGAAAGCGUGGGGAGCGAACCGG